CCAAUAGCGUAUAUUAAAGUUGUUGCAGUUAAAAAGCUCGUAGUUGAAUUUCGGGAUUAAUAUGCUGGUCGUGCCAUUGGUACGUACUAGUAUUAUUGAUUUCUCCCUUCUGAUAAAUCAUGAUGUCAUUAAUUUGAUGUCAUGGGGAAUCAGGACUGUUACUUUGAAAAAAUUAGAGUGUUUAAAGCAGGCUCGCGCUUGAAUACAUUAGCAUGGAAUA
RNAcentral lists this ribosomal RNA (220 nucleotides) under uncultured Glomus. Its description in RNAcentral is "partial small subunit ribosomal RNA". It matches the Rfam family "Eukaryotic small subunit ribosomal RNA", at positions 591 to 816 of the family's 1831-position model. The record is from RNAcentral. Lineage: Eukaryota; Fungi; Glomeromycota; Glomeromycetes; Glomerales; Glomeraceae.